RNAcentral lists this ribosomal RNA (494 nucleotides) under uncultured bacterium. RNAcentral's name for it is "partial 16S ribosomal RNA". It matches the Rfam family "Bacterial small subunit ribosomal RNA", at positions 28 to 507 of the family's 1533-position model. The record is from RNAcentral.
GACGAACGCUGGCGGCGUGCUUAACACAUGCGAGUCGAACGGAAAGGCCUGCUUUCCCUUGUGGAUUGCGGGUACUCGAGUGGCGAACGGGUGAGUAACACGUGAGUGAUCUGCCCCCAACUUGGGUAUAAGCCUGGGAAACUGGGUCUAAUUCCCGAUAGGACUGCAGGGUGGUGCCUGUGGUGGAAAACGAUUUUCUAGUGGUUGGGGAUGAGCUCGCGGCCUAUCAGCUUGUUGGUGGGGUAAUGGCCUACCAAGGCGGCGACGGGUAGCCGGCCUGGGAGGGUGGACGGCCACAUUGGGACUGAGAUACGGCCCAGACUCCUACGGGAGGCAGCAGUGGGGAAUAUUGCACAAGGGGCGGAAGCCUGAUGCAGCGACGCCGCGGGGGGGAUGACGGCCUUCGGGUUGUAAACUCCUUUCGACCGCGAGGAAGCCACCUGGUUGGAAGGGUGGUGACGGUAGUGGUAGAAGAAGCACCGGCUAACUACGUG